CAGCCGCCGCGGGAAUACGAAGGGGGCUAGCGUUGUUCGGAAUCACUGGGCGUAAAGGGCGCGUAGGCGGCCAUUCAAGUUAGAUGUGAAAGCCCUGGGCUCAACCUAGGAAUUGCAUUUGAUACUGUUUGGCUUGAGUUCGGGAGAGGUGAGUGGAAUUCCCAGAGUAGAGGUGAAAUUCGUAGAUAUUGGGAAGAACACCAGUGGCGAAGGCGGCUCACUGGACCGACACUGACGCUGAGGCGCGAAAGCGUGGGGAGCAAACAGGAUUAGAUACCCCCGUAGUCCCUGUCUCUUAUAC
This 301-nucleotide ribosomal RNA is filed under the name uncultured bacterium. Its description in RNAcentral is "partial 16S ribosomal RNA". It matches the Rfam family "Bacterial small subunit ribosomal RNA", at positions 509 to 807 of the family's 1533-position model. The record is from RNAcentral.